RNAcentral lists this ribosomal RNA (495 nucleotides) under uncultured bacterium. RNAcentral's name for it is "partial 16S ribosomal RNA". It matches the Rfam family "Bacterial small subunit ribosomal RNA", at positions 28 to 507 of the family's 1533-position model. The record is from RNAcentral.
GAUGAACGCUGGCGGCGUGCCUAAUACAUGCAAGUCGAGCGAACAGACGAUGAGCUUGCUCCUCUGACGUUAGCGGCGGGCGUGAGUAACACGUGGAUAACCUACCUAUAAGACUGGGAUAACUUCGGGAAACCGGAGCUAAUACCGGAUAAUAUAUUCAACUGCAUGGUUCGAUAGUGAAAGUCGGGUUUGCUGUCACUUAUAGAUGGAUCCGCGCCGCAUUAGCUAGUUGGGAAGGUUACGGGGUACUAAGCCAAUGAGGGGUAGCCGACCUGGUGGGGUGGUAGGCCGCCUGGGAACUGAGACACGGUCCAGAGUACUACGGGAGGCAGCAGUAGGGAAUCUGCCGCAAUGGGCGAAAGCCUGACGGAGCAACGCCGAGUGAGAGAUGAAGGUCUUCGGAUCGUAAAACUCUGUUAUUGGGGAAGAACAAAUGUGUAAGUAACCAUGCCCGUCUUGACGGUACCUAAUAAGAAAGCCACGGCUAACUACGUG